AAUUAUACCGUGAAACUGCGAAUGGCUCAUUAAAUCAGUUAUCGUUUAUUUGAUAGUACCUUACUACUUGGAUACCUGUGGUAAUUCUAGAGCUAAUACAUGCUAAAAACCCCAACUUCGGAAGGGGUGUAUUUAUUAGAUAAAAAACCAAUGCCCUUCGGGGCUCCUUGGUGAUUCAUAAUAACUUCUCAGAUCGCAUGGCCUUGCGCCGGCGACGGUUCAUUCAAAUUUCUGCCCUAUCAACUUUCGAUGGUAAGGUAUUGGCUUACCAUGGUGGCAACGGGUAACGGGGAAUUAGGGUUCGAUUCCGGAGAGUUAGCCUGAGAAACGGCUAACACAUCCAAGGAAGGCAGCAGGCGCGCAAAUUACCCAAUCCCGAUACGGGGAGGUAGUGACAAUAAAUACUGAUACAGGGCUCUUUUGGGUCUUGUAAUUGGAAUGAGUACAAUUUAAACCUCUUAACGAGGAACAAUUGGAGGGCAAGUCUGGUGCCAGCAGCCGCGGUAAUUCCAGCUCCAAUAGCGUAUAUUAAAGUUGUUGCAGUUAAAAAGCUCGUAGUUGAACCUUUGGCCUGGCUGGCAGGUCCGCCUCACCGCGUGCACUUGUCCGGCCGGGCCUUUUCUUCUGGAGAACCGCAUGCCCUUCACUGGGUGUGUUGGGGACCAGGACUUUUACUUUGAAAAAAUUAGAGUGUUCAAAGCAGGCCUUUGCUCGAAUAUUACAGCAUGGAAUAAUAGAAUAGGACGUGCGGUUCUAUUUUGUUGGUUUCUAGGACCGCCGUAAUGAUUAAUAGGGACAGUCGGGGGCAUCAGUAUUCAAUUGUCAGAGGUGAAAUUCUUGGAUUUAUUGAAGACUAACUACUGCGAAAGCAUUUGCCAAGGAUGUUUUCAUUAAUCAGUGAACGAAAGUUAGGGGAUCGAAGACGAUCAGAUACCGUCGUAGUCUUAACCAUAAACUAUGCCGACUAGGGAUCGGGCGGUGUUACUAUUUUGACUCGCUCGGCACCUUACGAGAAAUCAAAGUGUUU
RNAcentral lists this ribosomal RNA (1027 nucleotides) under Stagonospora sp. Its description in RNAcentral is "SSU rRNA". It matches the Rfam family "Eukaryotic small subunit ribosomal RNA", at positions 72 to 1108 of the family's 1831-position model. Lineage: Eukaryota; Fungi; Ascomycota; Dothideomycetes; Pleosporales; Massarinaceae. The record is from RNAcentral.